UCGAGAAAAAAGGAUGAAAGAAAAACUAAUCGAAGAUUGGAAAAGAGAUUGGAUAUAACAGAAUGGCCAAACAAGUUCCAGUUUUAAUCGGUUGAGUGUAUACUGUUCUAAACAAAAUUGACAGCUGUUCCAUUAAAUCAUGAUUGAAUUUCCAGAUUCAUAUAUUAAUUAUUAUUCCGUGAUAUUGCAGCAGAUCGAGAUUGGUUCUUUGAAAAUAUUUUCUCGUGAACAAGUUAACAUUCGAUUAAAUUUCGUUCCGGAGAUUCAAAAAUCAUUUUUAGAAAAUAAUUAUUUGUGAAAUUACCUUGUCACAGAUAUUUCACUUUUGUAACAAAAUUUUUUUUCGAGGUGAAACGUAAAAAGGAAAAAAGAAAAGAAUAAAGAAUUGAAAAAAUUUUA
Molecule: long non-coding RNA, 399 nt
Organism: Apis dorsata (giant honeybee)
Lineage: Eukaryota; Metazoa; Arthropoda; Insecta; Hymenoptera; Apidae
Exons: 2
Source: RefSeq, a predicted model, not a curated record